CAGUAGCCGCGGGAAUACGAAGGGGGCUAGCGUUGUUCGGAAUUACUGGGCGUAAAGCGCACGUAGGCGGAUAUUUAAGUCAGGGGUGAAAUCCCAGAGCUCAACUCUGGAACUGCCUUUGAUACUGGGUAUCUUGAGUAUGGAAGAGGUGAGUGGAAUUCCGAGUGUAGAGGUGAAAUUCGUAGAUAUUCGGAGGAACACCAGUGGCGAAGGCGGCUCACUGGUCCAUUACUGACGCUGAGGCUCGAAAGCGUGGGGAGCAAACAGGAUUAGAUACCCCUGUAGUCCCUGUCUCUUAUAC
Molecule: ribosomal RNA, 301 nt
Filed under: uncultured bacterium
Lineage: Bacteria
Description: partial 16S ribosomal RNA
Rfam family: Bacterial small subunit ribosomal RNA
Source: RNAcentral